Long non-coding RNA from Pseudoliparis swirei, 764 nucleotides. RefSeq lists it as uncharacterized. Lineage: Eukaryota; Metazoa; Chordata; Actinopteri; Perciformes; Liparidae. The record is from RefSeq and is a predicted model, not a curated record. The transcript has 3 exons.
GUUAUUUGUCAAUGGAGGCCUUUUCUUAAAGUGGGUCCUUUCUCAAAUUAAAACGACGUACGCCUCCAAAUAGUAACUUUAUUUUUCUUGCAAUAGAAACCGACUGUGGAACGUGGCUAGACGCUUGCUUCCUCUAAGAAAAAUCUGCUUCAACACCAGGUGAGUCUUUUGAAAUCAUUCAAUAUGACUUGUUUGAAAUGUUUGUUGUACAGUUAGAGUGAGCACGUCUUAUAAUAAAAUAAGUGCUAAAACCUUGAAGCAACUUGAGUUUGACUCAUGAAUGAAAUGUGCGUCUGAACCGGUUUGACAGCUUCUGUUGCAGUGUGUGUGUCCUGUGACGUGAGUGUUGUGCAGCAGGUGUGUGUGUGAAGGUGUGGACUCUGCUAUGCAUCAGUGGGAGGACAGAGAGGAGUCCCUCCCUCUAAAACCUCUCUGUGUGGGGAACAUGACAGCCAGACCAAAGCUCAGAGACCAGACUCACCUGGACCGGGACCUGGACCUGGACCGGGACCUGGACCUGGACCUGGACCCAGCUGUGUGUCCCUGAAGAGUAUGGGAAGACCUGUGAAUUUCAAAGAUGGAGUUCAGCCUGUUGAACUAAGAGUUCAGCAACAGAGAUCCCAAGUGAUCCCAGGAGACCUGGACCCCAUAUUUAAGGUGUGUGAGUCAGAGACUGUAUAACAUAUAGAGAUGGUCAAAGAGUUGGAUCGUUGAUGGAGAUUAGACGAGCAGGUGGAGCAACAGAGGAGACGUCCACCUGUCAA